Long non-coding RNA from Ruditapes philippinarum (Manila clam), 1444 nucleotides. RefSeq lists it as uncharacterized. The record is from RefSeq and is a predicted model, not a curated record. The transcript has 2 exons. NCBI's taxonomy places the organism in Eukaryota, Metazoa, Mollusca, Bivalvia, Venerida, Veneridae.
UAUCCUACAAUGGAGUGUGUCCUUUAGGAGUUGCCUGACACAGGUGGUCACUCAAAACGGGUGCUUUCUGUACUGUUAUAGGUCAGAUAAUAACACUUCCCUGUAGUCCUAGAUUUUUCAGUUGUAUUUUUUUGUUCAGAGUUUGCCAUAUUUAUAGAGGAUAUUGAAUGAGAUUUGGUUUGGUACUAAAUUUAUUGUACAAGUUGAGAAAAAUCAUAUUAUGCUAGCCUCUGGCAAGCUUAAUAUUGUUUUUUUCAACAAGUUCAAUAAAUUUAGUAAUGAAUUUACAGAAAACUAAUAUUCUAUUUACCACAUAUAUAAAAUAAGAACAGUUUACUGUAAAAACAUAAAAAAAGAGUAAUUUUUCAUUGACGUGCCUAUAGUGUAGCGCUAUCAUUAGCGCGCUUUAAAGCUAUUUUUGUAUAUAAUGCAAAUGACGGUUUGUCAAAGUGUUAUUACACUAGUGUAAUAUCAUUUUUCUUAAAUGGGUUUAUUACACUUUUGCGUUGUGCUUUAAGUGAUAAACAUGUAUAUUGGCUAACAAGUAAUGUUGAAACUUGAAAAAAACUUUCUGUUUCUGAACUUAUGUUUGCAAGAUUGUAAUUAUUCUCAUUUUUAUAUGCCCGAAAGAAUUUCGGACAUAUUAUGUUAUACCCCCUGGCGUCCGUCCGUCUGUCUGUCCGUCCGUCCGUCCGUCCUUCCGUCCGUCUGUCUGUCCGUCCGUCCGUUAGCAAUUUGGUUUCCGGAGCAUAACUGAAGUUCCAUUUGGCCCACAAUAUUCAAACUUCAUAGGAUGAUUGUCCAUAUUGGGUAGAAGACCCCUAUUGAUUUUGGGGUCAUAAGGUCAAAGGUCAAGGUCACUAUGACCUUAAAACUGAAAACGUUAGCAAUUUGGUUUCCGGAGCAUAACUUAAGUUCCAUUUGGCCCACAAUAUUCAAACUUCAUAGGAUGAUUGUCCAUAUUGGGUAGAAGACCCCUAUUGAUUUUGGGGUCAUAAGGUCAAAGGUCAAGGUCACUAUGACCUUAAAACUGAAAACAGUUUUUGGAGCAUAACUUAAGUUCCAUUUGGCCCACAGUGUUCAAACUUCAUAGGAUGAUUGUCCAUAUUUGGUAGAAGACCCCUAUUGAUUUUGGGGUCACAAGGUCAAAGGUCAAGGUCACUAUUACUUAGAAAUUGAAAACAGUUUCUUGAGCAUAACUUUAGUUCCAUUCAGCCCACAAUAUUCAAAAACUUCAUAGUAUGAUUGUCCAUAUUGGAUAAAAGACGCCUAAUGAUUUUGGGGUCACAAGGUCAAAGGUCAAGGUCACUUUUACCUUAGAAUUGAAAACAGUUUCUGGGACAUAACUUAAAGUUCCAUUUGGACCACAAUAUUGAAACUUCAAAGGAGGAUUGUUAUUUGAAGGAGGUAAUACUUUAUUUUAGUCCCAUGUCUUACAAAUGCU